GUGGGGAAUCUUGCGCAAUGGGCGAAAGCCUGACGCAGCCAUGCCGCGUGAAUGAUGAAGGUCUUAGGAUUGUAAAAUUCUUUCACCGGGGACGAUAAUGACGGUACCCGGAGAAGAAGCCCCGGCUAACUUCGUGCCAGCAGCCGCGGUAAUACGAAGGAGGCUAGCGUUGCUCGGAAUUACUGGGCGUAAAGGGCGCGUAGGCGGAUCGUUAAGUCAGGGGUGAAAUCCCAGAGCUCAACUCUGGAACUGCCCUUGAUACUGGCGAUCUUGAGUGUGAGAGAGGUAUGUGGAACUCCGAGUGUAGAGGUGAAAUUCGUAGAUAUUCGGAAGAACACCAGUGGCGAAGGCGACAUACUGGCUCAUUACUGACGCUGAGGCGCGAAAGCGUGGGGAGCAAACAGGAUUAGAAACCCCUGUAGUCC
RNAcentral lists this ribosomal RNA (425 nucleotides) under uncultured bacterium. RNAcentral's name for it is "partial 16S ribosomal RNA". It matches the Rfam family "Bacterial small subunit ribosomal RNA", at positions 354 to 796 of the family's 1533-position model. The record is from RNAcentral.